RNAcentral lists this long non-coding RNA (220 nucleotides) under Physcomitrium patens. RNAcentral describes it as "long non-coding RNA (PPAT_LNC013280)". Lineage: Eukaryota; Viridiplantae; Streptophyta; Bryopsida; Funariales; Funariaceae. The record is from RNAcentral.
GCACCAAACUGAAAAUCAACGGAUUUAUGUCUCGAGCAUCACAAUCCGGGAGUUAGAAGGAGCCUGGAGGCUAGAAUUGCGUGACUGGAAUUAUGAACUCGGAGCCUGCCGUAUACCUACAAAUAUUCGCUUCACCGGUAAAGGAUCGACCCCUAUGGAUUAUUCAAAUGGCAACGUUUCAUCUACAGCACUGCGAGAACAGCACAGUCCAUGAAUUCCA